Molecule: non-coding RNA, 58 nt
Organism: Dipodomys ordii (Ord's kangaroo rat)
Lineage: Eukaryota; Metazoa; Chordata; Mammalia; Rodentia; Heteromyidae
Source: Rfam
GGGAAGGUGGCUCAGUGGUAGAGCGCUUGCCUUGCAUGCCUGAGGCCCUGGGUUUGAU